AAUAUGGAUAAAAUUUGACGCUAAUACCAUAUUGGUUGUCCAAAACUGCUUCCAAUUAUUUUCCCGAACCUCUCUGCAACUCAAAGCGCCGCCGUUUUAACUCCCUGGCAUCUCUCGCGCAGUCCAUAGCUUCCUCAUUUCCUCCAUUGAAUCAAAGGUAGCACAGUUGCAAACUGUAAAGGAUCGAGCAGGUUAUUUGCUAGGUUUUUAGAUUAUUAUUAUUAUUAUUAUGGCUCUUUCAACUUCCAGAACCCUCUUGCGCUCUUUCGCCUCCUUAUCUCCCUUUGCCCGCUGCUCGAACUCUACUUCUUAUGGAGAUAGCUUAUGGUCCUCAGAGCCUCGGGCAAUUUUCAAAGGUGGGUCAUAUUUCCUUGCUCAAAGAAAGCUCUCAUCAACUUCUGUCCUAAGUCUUGGAUCAAUUGAAGGUGCAUUUCCUUGUGAGUUAAUGUCCACAAAACCUUUGGUGGUAUCAGAUAGAAAUAUAGCACUUCUUCAAGAAUGGAAAUUGGGAUUUCCAAGUCUUAGUCGUGCAUUAUACUGUUCUACUGCCGACUUCAAGAAGAAUGAGCUUCUGGAACUUCAGGAGGUUGAGAAGGUUUUGAGCGAUGUGAGAGCUGACAACGUCAAGGUUAUACCAGUUCAAAAGCACUGUGCUUGGGCUGAUUUCAUGGUGAUUGCCACGGGAAGGUCUACUUGGCAUGUUAAGAACAUUGCUCAAGCCCUAAUUUAUAAGGUUAAGCAGAAGCAGAAGGGGGCUCAGCGGUUAAUGCUCCCUAGUGUGGAAGGACAAGAGGGAGGAAAGUGGAUUGUCAUCGACUCUGUUUUUAAGAGUUAUGGUCAUUUGUUUAGGCAAAGUGGUAGUCCAUGCGCUUGAUGAGAAGGCUAGAGAUUACUAUAGUUUGGAGAGUCUCUGGACCACAGGGACUUCUGAAAAGGAACCAAUCCAGCUUGUGGAUCGCUGCUAACCCCUAGCCCCAAAGAUCAACGAAAGAGAUAUUAAAGACAAUCGUUUAUAAACCAAGGUUGGCGUGAUGAGCAACUGAGUUGGGAGGGUUUGAUGUGAGACAUUAGUGGCAAUUGGCUGCUUUCAUAGCGGAGCUCACCACAACAGCGGAAGUAAUCAUAUUUUGGAGGCUAAGGUAUUUAAGGUUGAGUGGGUUAUAUACGUGGAUGGAUCUUCAAAUGUUAAUAAAAGCGGAGUUGGAAUAUUGUUGAAGGGUCCAAAUGGAGACCUAACUCUAAAAGUUAUACAAAAUCUAUUUAUUAAAUUAAAGCUCACACAAUGUAAAAUAGUAAAAACUCCAUUUAUUCGAUUAGUUCGUUAUGCAUCUCUUAAUCAUAUCAAACAGUUAAAAAACCAACAUUGUGUUUAGGGAUAGUCACGACCACCUCCUCAGAUUAUGGCCACCGAGUAUACUAUGUACCAGCAGACCUUGAUCGGGUUUAAAGUCUUUCACCCAAGAGAGAGAACAAUCCUUACUUAUCAGUGACACAUUAAUUUUAUUCCAUAUUUAUAGUUUAAUAUUUGUUAGUUUA
This is an RNA transcript of Ziziphus jujuba (common jujube), 1536 nucleotides long. It is a transcript of the gene named protein Iojap-related, mitochondrial, with no coding region annotated. The record is from RefSeq and is a predicted model, not a curated record. Lineage: Eukaryota; Viridiplantae; Streptophyta; Magnoliopsida; Rosales; Rhamnaceae. The transcript is spliced from 7 exons.